This is a long non-coding RNA of Zonotrichia leucophrys gambelii, 2969 nucleotides long. RefSeq lists it as uncharacterized. NCBI's taxonomy places the organism in Eukaryota, Metazoa, Chordata, Aves, Passeriformes, Passerellidae. The record is from RefSeq and is a predicted model, not a curated record. The transcript has 3 exons.
GUAAAAUGAGUCUUUGGUGUUCUAUCCCUUAAAGUGAAAAAAAUAUUUUGGCAUUAAAGAAUUUUGUACCUCACUGGUACAUCAGCUGCAUUGAUAACAAGUCUCAAAAAUUAUAAACAGUACUUGUAAAGCCAUGCAAGUCUUCUCAAAUGACACAGUAUGGUUUUAUUUGGCUGAAAAUUAAAGAGUAAAUUUAAGUUUAUUCUGAAUACUGUUCAGACAUAUUAUUCAAACAAAGACUGCUUGUUUGCAGUUUUCAUUAUUUUACAUGUUCUGUACUUCAACUCUGUCAAAACUUGGUAAAACAUGAAUCACAUGCCACCAGUUGCAUAUUGUUGCUGUGUUUCCUCAAGUUUUUAUGUAUCUCUGCAUUCCAGUCACCUGGCAAACCCAAGCUGUAGUGUUAAAACCCCAACCAAUUCUCAUGACUUCCACAGGACCCAUAAUUCUUUCCAAGGGUUUCCACUUCAGAGCCUGCUUUGAAGGUGAGUCCUUUGGAUGUGUUUCACAGAACAAUGACAGGAACUAGCACAUUGUUCCACCCAAAUACCUGUGCUUGAGUGAGAGCAUCUGUAUACUGCGAUUUUUUGGGAAAGAAAUGUGAAGAAGCUUCAAAACAGCUCAGAUCCUGUUAACAGUGUGGAAUUUGGGAAUAGGAGCAACAAAAGUUGCUUGAUAAGGUUUGCACCUUUGAGAUGUCAGGGUGAACACUCGGUGGUAGGUAACUCCAUGGCUUGAGUGCUGUUAACCCAGAUUUAUCUGCAGGUUGCUCGGGAUGUAUCAGGAUGAGUCCCCCUAAAAACUUAAUGCUUUUCAGACAGUAUUUAUGGAACAUAUUUAAGAUGCUAAAAUUUUACAUAUGGUCCACAAUGUCUUUUCUGUACCUGUGAUCUGAUGGACUGAGGAUGUAGAGGAAAAUUAAUACAUUAUCAACUAAAAAAUGGAAUUUUCUACAUAUAUUGGUUUUGGAAUAAUACUGAAGUAUUAUAAGAUCAUGGAAGGACUAUUAACAUAAUAUAUUUAUACAAGGACAAUGUAUAUUUAAUCAGUACUUAAUGGUGAUAUCUUAAUAGGUUUCCCCAUAGAGAACGACAAUGUGAUUUUCAUCUUCCUGAAUUAAUAAUCUUGCAGAAUGCUGAAGACCAUUUUUACAUUUCAUUCAUAUGCAGAAAGAAGAAAUCUUUUUCUGAGCAACUAAGGAAACCUCUAAAACAAAUCAAAGCUGUGGGCAGUGAGCACAGAGAACUCAUUAGCUCAAGAAUAAAGUCAAGAGUUGUUUCCUUGUGCCUACUACAGUGAAGGCUGAAGAAAGAGGGGCAAAAGGAGGUAGGAAGCUCUGACAAGGUGUCUUCAGGAAACAUCAAAGCAAAAAAGAAAUUUUGCUGCUGAAGGACAAAAGAGGAGACAUCACUGCUAUUUCAUAUCAUCACUAUUUUUGCCAGUGAACUCUUGUGAUUGUACUGCCCUGAUUUGCAAUAUUUCCUUCCAUCCCAGAGGCACUACUGAACAUAUAAAUGACUGCUUUUUGUGCAAAGAUCACACAAGUUACAUAGGGUAAAGAAUCUGAGUUAAAUAUAAUCAAAUAUCAACACUGUGCUAUAAAAUUACAGCCUGAAUUAUUUUUGCCUGCUUGUAGUCAAGAGAUUUAAACAAGCAUUUCCAAUAAUCUCAUUUUAACAUUUUAGACUGACACUUUACAAUAGCUAUAGUUGACUCAAUUAAAUGUUUGGGUACCAGAAUGAGGAAGGAAGGGAACUUUAUUUGAAUUGAUUGACUUUUUCAGCUGCUCUCUGAAAUACAUCCAUAGCAUGCUCACUAUCCUUGUCUACUCAAAAGACACUAUUUUGACUGUAAAAUGAGAUUUCAGCUUCAACAUCAGAAAAGAGAUGGGAACAUAGGAAUGUCGAAUUAUUGGCAUUAGCUAUCUUUCCUUUUCCUUGAAAAUUAUUUACCUCAAAAAGGAAGAAAGAGGCUUCUAAUCAAACAUUUCAAUUGAGUAGAACCCAGAACUUUGAUAGACACUGACUUUCUAACUGAUAACACUGUUUUUUCAAAUAUGUUUGAGACAGCUCUGACACAAGGACUGCUAUGCAGAAGGGUAUGGGUGAAGUAUACCAAAUAAGUUUUACAAGGAAAGCUUAUUCUUUCUUUAUGCAAAAAUGUAUCUUUUUCUUUAAGAUUUUGGAAAACAAGAUCACUUUUUCCCCUUGAAAUUUUAUUUUCAGCUUUCAAAAGAACCUGAAAAGACACUUAGAAUAUUUUGAGUCUUUAUGCUUAGUUGCAAUUAAAACCUCCACCAAACUGGACCGUGCCUUCAGUGCUUAACAUUCAACUGUGAUGACCAGUCUGAGCUCACUCUCAUCAGGGAUACUUGCUUGGGCAUCUUUAAAGAAAAUGGAUAGAAAUCUCCUCCUAUCUUAUGUCUCAGCUGAACUUACUCUCCAUUCCAAAUGAACAUCCUUUUUACAUGGACACUCAAUAAACAUUUCAAGCUUCUAGACUGAUCUCUUGUUUCACUAUUGCACAGGAAUCCGUACAACUGGCAUUGUAGUCUUUGUGCUGAGGCGUAGUGGUGGAAAUCUCUGCAGUGUGUAUGCCUGGAAGAUACUGCUCCUCAGAAAUAAUGUGCCUAUGGCAGCAACAGGAGGACACACAAAGUUAAUUCCCCCUAUUAUCCACUGGAAAAAGACAUUUGAAAUGAACAGAUUUUAAAAUGAACAGAUAGAGAGUACAUCAGCAAAUUGCUCAUCUCUCCAAUUCGUGCUAUUGAAAGAGCACUUGGGGACUGAUUUGUGAUAAUCUGGUGAUUCACUGGAAAGAGCUGAAGGAACAAUGCCCCCCCUGUGGACAAUGAUAAGCAAGAAUGAGAUUUCUUAUUACUGCCGAUGUACCUGCUGAAAUUACUGCUCAAGUACUUUUUGCUAUUGCUGUUUUUCCUUCUGUUGUAAUUAAACAACACCAGAACACUG